UGCAUGGUGCUAUGAGCAGACCGCGGGC
Molecule: small RNA, 28 nt
Filed under: Bombyx mori (domestic silkworm)
Lineage: Eukaryota; Metazoa; Arthropoda; Insecta; Lepidoptera; Bombycidae
Description: ovarian small RNA-8518
Source: RNAcentral